UACGGAGGGUGCAAGCGUUAUCCGGAUUCACUGGGUUUAAAGGGUGCGUAGGAGGGCAGGUAAGUCAGUGGUGAAAUCUCCGAGCUUAACUUGGAAACUGCCGUUGAUACUAUCUGUCUUGAAUAUUGUGGAGGUGAGCGGAAUAUGUCAUGUAGCGGUGAAAUGCUUAGAUAUGAUAUAGAACACCAAUUGCGAAGGCAGCUCGCUACACAUAUAUUGACUCUGAGGCACGAAAGCGUGGGGAUCAAACAGG
Molecule: ribosomal RNA, 253 nt
Filed under: uncultured bacterium
Lineage: Bacteria
Description: partial 16S ribosomal RNA
Rfam family: Bacterial small subunit ribosomal RNA
Source: RNAcentral